Molecule: ribosomal RNA, 465 nt
Filed under: uncultured bacterium
Lineage: Bacteria
Description: partial 16S ribosomal RNA
Rfam family: Bacterial small subunit ribosomal RNA
Source: RNAcentral
CCUACGGGCGGCAGCAGUGGGGAAUAUUGCGCAAUGGGCGAAAGCCUGACGCAGCGACGCCGCGUGAGGGAUGAAGGUCUUCGGAUCGUAAACCUCUGUCAGCAGGGAAGAACGGUCACUGUGCUAAUCAGCAGUGAAUUGACGGCACCUGCAAAGGAAGCACCGGCUAACUCCGUGCCAGCAGCCGCGGUAAUACGGAGGGUGCGAGCGUUAACCGGAAUUACUGGGCGUAAAGCGCUCGUAGGCGGUAUGUCAAGUCAAGGGUGAAAUCCCGGCGCUCAACGUCGGAACUGCCUUUGAAACUGGCAAGCUGGAGUGUGUGAGAGGUUAGUGGAAUUCCAGGUGUAGGAGUGAAAUCCGUAGAUAUCUGGAGGAACAUCAGUGGCGAAGGCGACUAUCUGGCACAUAACUGACGCUGAGGAGCGAAAGCGUGGGUAGCAAACAGGAUUAGAUACCCCAGUAGUC